RNAcentral lists this ribosomal RNA (520 nucleotides) under uncultured Glomeromycotina. Its description in RNAcentral is "SSU rRNA". It matches the Rfam family "Eukaryotic small subunit ribosomal RNA", at positions 569 to 1093 of the family's 1831-position model. Lineage: Eukaryota; Fungi; Glomeromycota. The record is from RNAcentral.
AGCAGCCGCGGUAAUUCCAGCUCCAAUAGCGUAUAUUAAAGUUGUUGCAGUUAAAAAGCUCGUAGUUGAAUUUCGGGAUCAAUUUAUCGGUCGUGCCUACGGUAUGAACUGGUACAAUUGGUUUCUCCCUUCUGACGAAGCAUGAUGCCAUUAAUUUGGUGUCGUGGGGAAUCAGGACUGUUACUUUGAAAAAUUAGAGUGUUUAAAGCAAGCAUUAGCUUGAAUACAUUAGCAUGGAAUAAUGAAAUAGGACGUUUGAUCCUAUUUCGUUGGUUUCUAGGAUCGACGUAAUGAUUAAUAGGGAUAGUUGGGGGCAUUAGUAUUCAAUUGUCAGAGGUGAAAUUCUUGGAUUUAUUGAAGACUAACUACUGCGAAAGCAUUUGCCAAGGAUGUUUUCAUUAAUCAAGAACGAAAGUUAGGGGAUCGAAGACGAUCAGGUACCGUCGUAGUCUUAACCAUAAACUAUGCCGACUAGGGAUCGGAUGAUGUUAAUUUUAAUGACUCAUUCGGCGCCUUAACC